AGAGUUUGAUCCUGGCUCAGGAUGAACGCUAGCGGCAGGCCUAACACAUGCAAGUCGAGGGGCAGCAUAAUCAAAGUUUACUUUGAUGGUGGCGACCGGCGCACGGGUGCGUAACGCGUAUGCAACCUACCUCGUACAGGGGGAUAGCCCGAAGAAAUUCGGAUUAAGACCCCAUAGUAUCUUUCCAAGGCAUCUUGGAGAGAUUAAAGGUUACGGUACGAGAUGGGCAUGCGUCCCAUUAGCUAGAUGGUAAGGUAACGGCUUACCAUGGCUACGAUGGGUAGGGGGCCUGAGAGGGUGAUCCCCCACACUGGUACUGAGACACGGACCAGACUCCUACGGGAGGCAGCAGUGAGGAAUAUUGGACAAUGGACGCAAGUCUGAUCCAGCCAUGCCGCGUGCAGGAAGAAUGCCCUAUGGGUUGUAAACUGCUUUUAUUCGGGAAUAAACCUCUCUACGUGUAGGGAGCUGAAGGUACCGAAAGAAUAAGCACCGGCUAACUCCGUGCCAGCAGCCGCGGUAAUACGGAGGGUGCAAGCGUUAUCCGGAAUCAUUGGGUUUAAAGGGUCCGCAGGCGGGCAUAUAAGUCAGUGGUGAAAUCCCAUCGCUUAACGAUGGAACUGCCAUUGAUACUGUAUGCCUUGAAUUCGGUCGAAGUGGGCGGAAUAUGACAUGUAGCGGUGAAAUGCUUAGAUAUGUCAUAGAACACCGAUAGCGAAGGCAGCUCACUAGGCCUGGAUUGACGCUCAGGGACGAAAGCGUGGGUAGCAAACAGGAUUAGAUACCCUGGUAGUCCACGCCGUAAACGAUGAUUACUCGAUAUUAGCGAUAUACUGUUAGUGUCUAAGCGAAAGUGAUAAGUAUCCACCUGG
This 872-nucleotide ribosomal RNA is filed under the name uncultured bacterium. Its description in RNAcentral is "bacterial SSU rRNA". It matches the Rfam family "Bacterial small subunit ribosomal RNA", at positions 9 to 873 of the family's 1533-position model. The record is from RNAcentral.